UCCAGUUUCAGUUGGUUGA
RNAcentral lists this unclassified non-coding RNA (19 nucleotides) under Mus musculus (house mouse). RNAcentral's name for it is "oocyte_clustered_small_RNA11496". Lineage: Eukaryota; Metazoa; Chordata; Mammalia; Rodentia; Muridae. The record is from RNAcentral.